RNAcentral lists this ribosomal RNA (492 nucleotides) under uncultured bacterium. RNAcentral describes it as "partial 16S ribosomal RNA". It matches the Rfam family "Bacterial small subunit ribosomal RNA", at positions 29 to 507 of the family's 1533-position model. The record is from RNAcentral.
AGUGAACGCUGGCGGUAGGCCUAACACAUGCAAGUCGAACGGCAGCACAGUAAGAGCUUGCUCUUACGGGUGGCGAGUGGCGGACGGGUGAGGAAUACAUCGGAAUCUACUUUUUCGUGGGGGAUAACGUAGGGAAACUUACGCUAAUACCGCAUACGACCUACGGGUGAAAGCAGGGGAUCUUCGGACCUUGCGCGAUUGAAUGAGCCGAUGUCGGAUUAGCUAGUUGGCGGGGUAAAGGCCCACCAAGGCGACGAUCCGUAGCUGGUCUGAGAGGAUGAUCAGCCACACUGGAACUGAGACACGGUCCAGACUCCUACGGUAGGCAGCAGUGGGGAAUAUUGGACAAUGGGCGCAAGCCUGAUCCAGCCAGACCGCGUGGGUGAAGAAGGCCUUCGGGUUGUAAAGCCCUUUUGUUGGGAAAGAAAAGCAGCAGGUUAAUACCCCGCUGUUCUGACGGUACCCAAAGAAUAAGCACCGGCUAACUUCGUG